This 807-nucleotide long non-coding RNA is filed under the name Struthio camelus australis. Its description in RNAcentral is "lncRNA (ENSSCUG00000000794.1)". The record is from RNAcentral. Lineage: Eukaryota; Metazoa; Chordata; Aves; Struthioniformes; Struthionidae.
CUUUCUUCUCAGAAAGACUUUGUUUCAUCGGACUGUUGCUGUCUAGUCAUCUUCUUCAACUAGCGUGAAGACUUGCUCACAAAGUUCAUGCAGUGCUUUGGAAGGACUACUGUUGUGAUCUCUGGAGCAUUUGAUUCUGGCUCUUAGAGGAACAGGAGCUCUCAUCUAUGAAGUACCUCUGAUCUUCAGCUAGUUUUAUGCAUAGAAGGUGAUGCACAGAGGGAUUACGGUUGUUAAAAUAUUUGCAAUGCUGCACAGGCUUGGAUGACAGAAGGAAAGUUGUUGGAAAAACAGCAAGAUGACAAGGACUUCAGUCUCGCUUUUUCUUCAGCAUAGCUGAAUCAUCGCGUGUAAAGGAUGUUGGAAGUUAUUCCAAUCCCUUCUGUUUCCCUUGGGAGCGCAUACACUGAAGGGCCAGGGCACUGGAGCAAAAUAGAGAUGCUCCAGUCCUCACACAGGCAGUGCAAAAGAAGUCUACUUGCAGAAAAGGCACUGUGAUCCAAUUCCAGGUUAAAAGACAGAAGUUGUCAUGUACUGCUGAGCAGGAGACAGUGAGGAAACCUCUCACCAUGAUGCCAGGCACCGAUCUGUACUGGGUGGAUCUGCUUGCUCCCCUCUGAGGAUCCCUUCCUUUCCUCCCCAUUGGUGUUGUUGGAGGAUUAAAGUAGCAGCGGCCCCAUACACAAACGCAGCUGGUUCCGUUUGGUCAGCCUGAGCCUUGCUGUGAAACCACGACAAGAAUUCCAGUAAGUUGGCAACACUGAAACACAAAGAAAACAACAAUAGGAAAAGUCCUUCCGUGCAGAA